RNAcentral lists this ribosomal RNA (483 nucleotides) under uncultured bacterium. RNAcentral's name for it is "bacterial SSU rRNA". It matches the Rfam family "Bacterial small subunit ribosomal RNA", at positions 29 to 517 of the family's 1533-position model. The record is from RNAcentral.
AGUGAACGCUGGCGGCAGGCCUAACACAUGCAAGUCGAGCGGCAGCGCGUCCGACCACCCUCGGGUGGUCGGAUGGCGGCGAGCGGCGGACGGGUGAGGAAUGCAUCGGAAUCUGCCUCGUUGUGGGGGAUAACGUAGGGAAACUUACGCUAAUACCGCAUACGACCUACGGGUGAAAGUGGGGGACCUUCGGGCCUCACGCGAUGAGAUGAGCCGAUGCCGGAUUAGCUAGUUGGCGGGGUAAAGGCCCACCAAGGCGACGAUCCGUAGCUGGUCUGAGAGGAUGAUCAGCCACACUGGAACUGAGACACGGUCCAGACUCCUACGGGAGGCAGCAGUGGGGAAUAUUGGACAAUGGGGGCAACCCUGAUCCAGCCAUGCCGCGUGGACGAUGAAGGCCUUAGGGUUGUAAAGUCCUUUCAGAUGGGAAGAUAAUGACGGUACCCAAAGAAUAAGCACCGGCUAACUUCGUGCCAGCAGCCG